CUGGAAAGAAAACUGAGUUUGUGUUCUAUAGUACAAAAGUUAUGAGACACGAAUCAGACAAAUGUUCACUACAACAGGGAUCAAAGGUGAGGUCUGACUGACCUGCCCAUAGUAAAUGUAAAUGAUUUGUUAUUUUGUCCCAUACAUGUGUACAUAUGAAUAUAUAUAAUUUAGGGGUGGGGAUCUCAACGGUUUUCAAGUUCUCAAACAGGUAGGGGUAGGCAGAGGAUUAAGGUGGGCAGGGGGCCCGGCCCCCCCUUUUUGGGAAAAAAAUUGGUUGCUUAUAUAGGGAAUCACUGAAGCGUGACUGGAGCAGGCCCCUCUUAGGUCAGUCAGUGGGCCCCACUUAUGAAAAUUUCAGGAUCUGCCACUGGGGGUAGGGUGACCCUAGGGACUUCCCCUACAUUUCAUUUUAUUUGUUAUAUUGUCCCAUCCAUGAAUAUAUAUGGUUUAGGGGUGGGGAUCUCAUUGGUUUCCAAGUUCUCAAACAGGAGGGGUAGGGUGACCCCAGGGACUCCCCCAUAUUUCAUUUAAUUAGUUAUAUUGGCCCAUACAUGAAUAUAUAUUGUUUUGG
RNAcentral lists this long non-coding RNA (574 nucleotides) under Mytilus galloprovincialis (Mediterranean mussel). The record is from RNAcentral. Lineage: Eukaryota; Metazoa; Mollusca; Bivalvia; Mytilida; Mytilidae.